RNAcentral lists this ribosomal RNA (298 nucleotides) under uncultured eukaryote. RNAcentral describes it as "partial 18S ribosomal RNA". It matches the Rfam family "Eukaryotic small subunit ribosomal RNA", at positions 1470 to 1796 of the family's 1831-position model. The record is from RNAcentral.
CCCUUAGACACUCUCGGCGGCACGCGCGCUACAAUGGGUGGAAGAACGUGUUACUGCCUCCGAAAGGAGGGGUGAAUCACGAAUUCUUGCCCGUGAAUGGGAUAGUUUGUUGCAAUUUUCGGACUUGAACUAGGAAUCCCUUGUAAACAUGCUCAAGAAUAGCGUGUUGAAUACGUCCCUGCCGUUUGUACACACCGCCCGUCGUUUCUUCCGACUGAUACUCAUUGUGAGUUGCAAGGACCCUUUAUUGGGAAAUUGCUGCAAAUGCUUUGUAUUGGAAGAAGAAAAAGUCGUAACA